Acanthopagrus latus (yellowfin seabream) is the source of this 264-nucleotide long non-coding RNA. RefSeq lists it as uncharacterized. Lineage: Eukaryota; Metazoa; Chordata; Actinopteri; Spariformes; Sparidae. The transcript has 2 exons. The record is from RefSeq and is a predicted model, not a curated record.
CGAGAGGCGAAGUCUGCGUUUUCCUCUGUCAGCUGCUUGGUUUUCAGCCCGACACCGGACAGAGCGGGCGUGACCACGAUCUCAUCCUGAAGAGAUCCUUUUCUCCUGAGCGAAACAAAAACACUUUCAGAUUCCUGAUUCCUGUCAUUUUGUGUUAGAACAGCAAUAAGAAGUACCUGAAAAUGCUAUUUAGUGUUGAUUUAAGCCACGUGAAGAAGCUGAAUCGAGCUGCAAUACCUGCAAUAAAUCAAACUGUUAUUUGAA